CAGUGGGGAAUAUUGCACAAUGGGCGCAAGCCUGAUGCAGCCAUGCCGCGUGUAUGGAAGAAGGCCUUCGGGUUGUAAAGUACUUUCAGCAGUGAGGAAGGUGGUGUCGUUAAUAGCGGCAUCAUUUCGACGUUAGCUGCAGAAGAAGCACCGGCUAACUCCGUGCCAGCAGCCGCGGUAAUACGGAGGGUGCGAGCGUUAAUCGGAAUUACUGGGCGUAAAGCGCAUGCAGGUGGUUUGUUAAGUCAGAUGUGAAAGCCCGGGGCUCAACCUCGGAAUUGCAUUUGAAACUGGCAGACUAGAGUACUGUAGAGGGGGUAGAAUUUCAGGUGUAGCGGUGAAAUGCGUAGAGAUCUGAAGGAAUACCGGUGGCGAAGGCGGCCCCCUGGACAGAUACUGACACUCAGAUGCGAAAGCGUGGGGAGCAAACAGGAUUAGAUACCCUGGUAG
Molecule: ribosomal RNA, 450 nt
Filed under: uncultured bacterium
Lineage: Bacteria
Description: bacterial SSU rRNA
Rfam family: Bacterial small subunit ribosomal RNA
Source: RNAcentral